Molecule: non-coding RNA, 46 nt
Filed under: Echinostoma caproni
Lineage: Eukaryota; Metazoa; Platyhelminthes; Trematoda; Plagiorchiida; Echinostomatidae
Source: RNAcentral
GCACUGCUGAUGAGACCCAACCAGGUCGAAACAGUUUGUCCAGUGC